Nycticebus coucang (slow loris) is the source of this 105-nucleotide small nuclear RNA. NCBI's taxonomy places the organism in Eukaryota, Metazoa, Chordata, Mammalia, Primates, Lorisidae. The record is from RefSeq and is a predicted model, not a curated record.
GUGCUCAUUUUGACAACAUUUAUACUAAAAUUGGAAUGCUACAGAGAAGAUUAGCAUGGCCCCUGUGCAAGGAUGACAUGCAAAUUCGUGAAGUUUCAUAUUUAA